GCCGCGGUGAAUACGUUCCCGGGCCUUGUACACACCGCCCGUCACACCACGAGAGUUUGUAACACCCGAAGUCGGUGAGGUAACCGUUAAGGAGCCAGCCGCCUAAGGUGGGAUAGAUGAUUGGGGUGAAGUCGUAACAAGGUAGCCGUAUCGGAAGGUGCGGCUGGAUCACCUCCUUUCUAAGGAA
RNAcentral lists this ribosomal RNA (187 nucleotides) under Streptococcus equi. RNAcentral's name for it is "partial 16S ribosomal RNA". It matches the Rfam family "Bacterial small subunit ribosomal RNA", at positions 1356 to 1533 of the family's 1533-position model. The record is from RNAcentral. Lineage: Bacteria; Bacillati; Bacillota; Bacilli; Lactobacillales; Streptococcaceae.